This 64-nucleotide transfer RNA is filed under the name Apostichopus californicus. RNAcentral describes it as "tRNA-Cys". Lineage: Eukaryota; Metazoa; Echinodermata; Holothuroidea; Aspidochirotida; Stichopodidae. The record is from RNAcentral.
GUCUUAAGGUGUUUUACAUGUUUGAUUGCAAAUCAAAAGUUUCUGGUUAAAAACAGAUAAGACU